This 861-nucleotide long non-coding RNA is filed under the name Homo sapiens (human). RNAcentral's name for it is "PREDICTED lncRNA (TCONS_00231782)". The record is from RNAcentral. Lineage: Eukaryota; Metazoa; Chordata; Mammalia; Primates; Hominidae.
CUGGUGACUAUGGAAAAUGAAAGCAAGUUCACGCUGACAAUGCCCGUAAAGAGCUUUGUGAAGCCAUGACAGUGCUCUUCAAUUUUAACAUGAAGAAGAGGGCAUGUGAGUUAGCAAGACUGGCCAGAGGCCAGAGCCCGGGGCCAGCAAACCUUUCCCUGCUGUGAGGUGGGCAAGUUAGUUGCUCCAAAAACAAGAUAAAAUGAUUGAGUUCUUUUCUCAAGCGGGAGUCGGAGUUUAUCUGCUCUGAGAAAUAUUGAUGUUAAAGAGGAAACUAACUUUCUGAACCAUUAAAUGUAAUAUCAUUUAUCUCACCAAAUCCCAAGAUAGAGCCCCAGCAGCUACUAUUAAUGAGUGUCUGGAAUAUGUUCCUGGCAUUUCACCUACCCUCUCUCCAAUCCUUCCAAGAAACUCACAAAGCAGGGCUUUUUCUUGAACUUCUCUUCCUCACAACAGUUAAAUCAUCCAUUUAAAGAUGUCAAACAACCUCCGUGUUCUAAGAUGUCUCUGUGUUAGGAAAACUUGGAUAAGCAGGUCCAUAGAAAUUCCUCUGCUAGCCCUGUCUCCUGGAAUUUCUACAUAAUGGCAUAUCCUCAGUUUGAAGCUGAAAAGGUUAAAUUCUACCUGAAGGAUGAAAACAACCAACAUUCUGUGCCAAGACAGUCAGGAGGGCAACCAUGUUUCCUGGUGGAGCCUCUGGAACCACUCAAGCCAAGAUGACCGGGGGUUUGGCUGGGAGGAGAUGGGGAAACUACAGACCCUACAGAUGGUUUCCUGUACCAUGAGGUUAAGCCUGGGGGCAGGAGAGGCUGUACCUUAGUUCCUUCAUCUGUAAAAUAAAGUAACAUAGUACCUACCUCA